GAUGAACGCUGGCGGCGUGCCUAAUACAAGCAAGUCGAGCGAACAGACGAGGAGCUUGCUCCUCUGACGUUAGCGGCGGACGGGUGAGUAACACGUGGAUAACCUACCUAUAAGACUGGGAUAACUUCGGGAAACCGGAGCUAAUACCGGAUAAUAUAUUGAACCGCAUGGUUCAAUAGUGAAAGACGGUUUUGCUGUCACUUAUAGAUGGAUCCGCGCCGCAUUAGCUAGUUGGUAAGGUAACGGCUUACCAAGGCGACGAUGCGUAGCCGACCUGAGAGGGUGAUCGGCCACACUGGAACUGAGACACGGUCCAGACUCCUACGGGAGGCAGCAGUAGGGAAUCUUCCGCAAUGGGCGAAAGCCUGACGGAGCAACGCCGCGUGAGUGAUGAAGGUCUUCGGAUCGUAAAACUCUGUUAUUAGGGAAGAACAAAUGUGUAAGUAACUAUGCACGUCUUGACGGUACCUAAUCAGAAAGCCACGGCUAACUACGUG
This 497-nucleotide ribosomal RNA is filed under the name uncultured bacterium. Its description in RNAcentral is "partial 16S ribosomal RNA". It matches the Rfam family "Bacterial small subunit ribosomal RNA", at positions 28 to 507 of the family's 1533-position model. The record is from RNAcentral.